This 253-nucleotide unclassified non-coding RNA is filed under the name Hevea brasiliensis (rubber tree). Lineage: Eukaryota; Viridiplantae; Streptophyta; Magnoliopsida; Malpighiales; Euphorbiaceae. The record is from RNAcentral.
UUUAUAUAAAAAUGAAUGCUCGCAUCUGUCCUAGCAUUGGUGUACAGAGUUACCGGUACCUUUUGCUGGUGGGAGGUGGUAAGGUAUCCUGUAGAAUUAGUCGAGGUGCACGAAAGUUGGCCCGGACACCACGGCCAUCAAAAGGAAAUUAUUGAUGUUGGGGAAACCCUGUGAUGGGAAUUUCAUUUACACUUACGUCAACUUCAACUUGAUGAAGUGAACGACUCUACCCGUUUGGUAAACAAUUCUAAAA